RNAcentral lists this ribosomal RNA (467 nucleotides) under uncultured bacterium. RNAcentral's name for it is "partial 16S ribosomal RNA". It matches the Rfam family "Bacterial small subunit ribosomal RNA", at positions 28 to 507 of the family's 1533-position model. The record is from RNAcentral.
GACGAACGCUGGCGGCGUGCUUAACACAUGCAAGUCGAACGGAAAGGCCUCUUUCGGUGGGUACUCGAGUGGCGAACGGGUGAGUAACACGUGAGUAACCUGCCCUUGACUUUGGGAUAACUUCAGGAAACUGGGGCUAAUACCGGAUAGGAGCUCCUGCUGCAUGGUGGGGGUUGGAAAGUUUCGGCGGUUGGGGAUGGACUCGCGGCUUAUCAGCUUGUUGGUGGGGUAGUGGCUUACCAAGGCUUUGACGGGUAGCCGGCCUGAGAGGGUGACCGGCCACAUUGGGACUGAGAUACGGCCCAGACUCCUACGGGAGGCAGCGGUGGGGAAUAUUGCACAAUGGGUGGAAGCCUGAUGCAGCAACGCCGUGUGCGGGAUGACGGCCUUCGGGUUGUAAACCGCUUUCGCUCAUGACGAAGCUUUGUGUGACGGUAGUGGGUAAAGAAGCACCGGCUAACUACGUG